Long non-coding RNA from Zea mays, 1191 nucleotides. RefSeq lists it as uncharacterized. Lineage: Eukaryota; Viridiplantae; Streptophyta; Magnoliopsida; Poales; Poaceae. The record is from RefSeq and is a predicted model, not a curated record. The transcript is spliced from 3 exons.
GGUUGCUCGGUGGCUACUUACCUACCCCUUCUGGUUCUGCGUGUUCUAUCUGCAAUCAACGACGGCGCGUCUCGACGGUACUGCUAAUUAGCCUCCUAGCCAGCCUCCGCCUGGAGGUCCAUCCCCGACCUCGACGCUUCCCGGCCAAACGCCGACGCCCCUCACCCUCGGCGCAGCGCCGCAGCGUCGCGGUGCUCCAUACCCAUCCCCCUCCAUGGUCGGCGCCUGCAUCCCCCGGCAUCGCGGUGCUGGAUCCCCUCCCUCUCUCGCGUUACGCUAGAGUUCGAGAAGGGGAAAAGCGACGUAGGGUUCGGCAACGACACCUCUGUGUCCCCUCCUCCCUCGCGCACUCAUUUUCCUUCGUCUCGUUGCUACUCAGAGGUUUGACACACUCUCCAAUCUACGUUUCCUAGCUGCUAGGGCUUUUAUUUUUGCAUGCCUCUUCUUACUCUCCGAAUUCCUCUUGGUCGCCUGGCAAAGUGCGUUCCAUCCGAGCGGUGAUGUGAGAUGUGUCCCCCCUAUUCUUCAUCGGUUUGCUUGCAAUGAUUGAGAUAGAUGUGCUCAUUCGCCUUGCAGAAAAUGAAAAAUAAAGAUAUCUUUGUGCCCAGAUUCAGAGAUGGUUUGACUACCUAAUCAUAUAUGCAUGGUACAACAGCCAUAAAACUGAAUUUUAUUUGGCUAGAACCUGAAAUGGCGGAAACUCUCAGGAAUCAUGGUGCAACCGUGCAUGGAUCACUUGUCUAAACUAGUUACAUCAUUUUGAUUAAGAAUAAGGAUUACCUGAUGGUUGUCUCCUAUUUUCUGUUGUAGUGCAAACCGUCUAAAGCUGACUGUUGGAUGGGGUUGGCGAAGGUGUGCUUGAAUAAGGAUCACCUGAAGGCGUGGAGUCCCUGGCUGCUGGUUGUUGUGUGUCCUGGCGGGCGACAGUUUGAAUCCCCUGCAGGCAGUGGCGGCUGUAAUAUGUACUAGUAUAAGCAUGCAGACAACAAUUGGAAAUUGUAUGAUUCAUGUGAUCAUUUUCCUUGUAUCUUUUCUAUUGUUGGUUAUAUAUCAGAUUUUAGAAGAUUCUUGUGAUCCUUUUCCUUGUAUUCUUUUCUAUUGUUGGUUAUAUAUCAGAUUUUAGAAGAUUCUUGUGAUCCUUUUCCUUGUAUUCUUUUCUAUUGUUGGUUAUAUAUCAGAUUUUAGAAGAUU